RNAcentral lists this long non-coding RNA (1197 nucleotides) under Oreochromis niloticus (Nile tilapia). Its description in RNAcentral is "lncRNA (ENSONIG00000031673.1)". The record is from RNAcentral. Lineage: Eukaryota; Metazoa; Chordata; Actinopteri; Cichliformes; Cichlidae.
GUUUUUGAUGUUAACGAUAGGUUUUGAGGUUUAAACUAAAAAUCGCCAGGGGAGCAGAUUGAGGUACAACUGCACGUCAUGUGGUCGUUGCUGAUGAGCCCGGCGGAGUGACGUCAGCCGCAAGGUGAGAAGGAUAACGUGAACUGAAAGCGGAGGAGAGUAUAGCCUCGCUCAUCUCAUCCCGUCCCAUCUGCCUGUUGUCAUUAUCACUCACAGAAAGACUCACUGCUGCUGCUGGACUACAUGGAAACACAUUCUUUCCACGCUCGGUCGAGCCUUCGGACACCGGGGGCGUCGACAGCAUUUUCACAGAAGGUCAACCACACGGCCCCGAUGACUUAGUGUGCCGAGCUAGUGUGGAAUUCGAUUGCUGCAGCUCAAUUCUGCCCGUCUGCUCAGUGGUCUGUUUGCCAAGAGUAGAAGAGAGCAGGGCAUGAGGCUGAGCUGGCUGUCACAUGCCAUCUGCGGGGUCACAUGAAGACACGCCAUCACGUUCUCUACUCUCCUUUUCCUCCUGGCGUAUCUCUGAGCCAAGGAGGAUUGGCAGAUAAGGUGUGAAAGGGGCUUGAGUUCAGUCAGCAGUCAAAGUCAAAGAAGACAGCCUGAUUCUAACUUGCAAUUUAGUGUCUACAUAAUUUUAUUAUUGCCUUACAAUAUAAAGCGCCUUGAGAUGACUGUUGUUGUGAUUUAGUGUUAUAUUGUUAUUGAAUUGAAUUUAAAUAGUUUAGGAAAUCAAAUACAGAAAGAGGGACCUCAGAGACUUCAGGUUGGUGUAUUAAAAACAACAAAGUAAAAUAGUGAGUGUGUUAGUGUCAGCACAGAGCGGAUGAGAAAGGUAGAAUCUGAAGAGGUGUCCCUGCGGCCUUCAAUUUGUUUUUGUCUUGUUAAACACAAACUGAGUUUCAAGAAUCACUGGGACCACUGCCAAGCGCUGAGACGCCAGUAACACAGAACGUGUAUCAGCCCCGCCAGGUAAACUGUCAACAGGAGGACGCCGUGUGUUGAGUGACUGCUGUGACUUGACAUGUUUAUUGGAGUAGACAUGGAAGCCGUUCAGUGGGUGAACAUUCUUGUAGAGGGACUUGAAUAAGAUUUACAAACAUAGAGGUUUUUUUUCAUUGUGUCAGUUAUGAUACACUCUUUCUUUUUACAAAAAUCUAAAUGAGCACCUAUUUUUACACCACUGAGAAGCUCAUA